UUUUAGCCCCGAUAGUAGUGAAAAUCCUUUUUGUUUUGAUUUUUCAUCAGAACAAAAAGAUUGAAACGGAUAGCAGGAACCAUC
Molecule: small RNA, 84 nt
Filed under: Flavobacterium sp. 5
Lineage: Bacteria; Pseudomonadati; Bacteroidota; Flavobacteriia; Flavobacteriales; Flavobacteriaceae
Description: Flavo-1 RNA
Rfam family: Flavo-1 RNA
Source: RNAcentral